Molecule: ribosomal RNA, 288 nt
Filed under: uncultured bacterium
Lineage: Bacteria
Description: partial 16S ribosomal RNA
Rfam family: Bacterial small subunit ribosomal RNA
Source: RNAcentral
GAAUCAACGCUGGCGGCGUGCCUCAGACAUGCAAGUCGAACGAUUAAACUUUCCUUCGGGAAAGAUAUAAAGUGGCGCACGGGUGAGUAACACGUAGGUAAUGUACCUUUGGGUGGGAAGUAACCAUCGAACGAUGGCUAAUACCGCAUAAUGCAGCGGCAUCGCAAGAAUGACAGUUGUUAAAGACGAGCAAUCGCGCCUAAAGAGCAGCCUGCGGCAGAUUAGGAGUUGGUAAGGUAAUGGCUUACCAAGCCUGCGAUCUGUAACCGACCUGGAGGGGGUGUCGGG